GUGAGUCAUCGAAUCUUUGAACGCACAUUGCGCCCCUUGGUAUUCCAUUGGGCAUGCCUGUUCGAGCGUCAUUUAAACCCUCAAGCUUCGCUUGGUGUUGGGCGUCUGUCCGCGCUUUCGGGCGCGGACUCGCCCCAAAUCCAUUGGCAGCGGUUUCGCCGGCUUCUUCGCGCAGCACUUUGCGCUCUUCGAGGCUUUUCGGCGGGGCUCGCGUCCAUCAAGUAACCACCCAUUUUGACCUCGAAUCAGGUAGGGAUACCCGCUGAACUUAAGCAUAUCAAUAAGCGGAGGA
This 292-nucleotide unclassified non-coding RNA is filed under the name fungal sp. RNAcentral's name for it is "partial contains 5.8S ribosomal RNA, internal transcribed spacer 2, and large subunit ribosomal RNA". The stretch from base 1 to 71 matches the Rfam family "5.8S ribosomal RNA", at positions 84 to 154 of the family's 154-position model. The record is from RNAcentral. Lineage: Eukaryota; Fungi.